GCCGGCACCAGUCCCAGCCAUUGUGACUGGCUUCCUGGCCCACAAAGAGUGAGUUGCAACCAGAGCCCCCGGCUUCAGUGGCCAGAGCUGGAGGCCUGCGAAGUUCAGAGCUGAGGGCUGUCCCAGCCCCUCUGUCUAUUCCCCACCAGGCCAGCCCCCACAAUUCCAGGCCUCUCUCAUCACCAAAUGCAUGGCUUUGGGUAGCCCCAGGACUCCUCAGGGGUCAGCCCAAAGGGCAUACUCAAGUCUGCCCUGGACGACUCAGGGAGAUGAUAUGAGGCUCUGACCAGCUGGCAGAUGGAAAAGGUCUUAGGAAUGGGUGUGGCGAGCCCUAAUAUUCAGAUGGAAGAGCUGGGCCAGCUCCCUUCGGCCUCUGACCUCCCACUGUUCUGCUUUCCUGAGUGGCCACUACGUGCCAAACCCUGUACACAGGCCAUUUCGCUGUGCCCUCACCCUACACCCAGAGCAACACUGACUCCGUUUCACCGAUGAGGAAAAUGAGGCUCAGAGAAGUCCAACCACCUGCCCAAAGCUUUGUUGCUGACAAGUGGCCGAGCAGGGACGCUAGCCAGCUUGGCCUGUCAUCCAGAUGUCACCUCUCACCUCAAGCAACUACUCUCUUCCUAUCCUGUCAGUGGAUGGGGCAAAGGGAAUGACUGCCCAGAGACUAAAAGAGGAGCCCGAGUCACAGCUGGCCCAUGGGGGCAGUGGGGCAAGAGAACAGAAGAAAGGUGUGCUGGAAGGCCAAGAGGGGACAUAGGCAUGCAGAUGGCCAUGUGACAGGAUGCGGCAACUGAGUCCCAAAGAGGUGUAGUGACUUGUCCAAAGUCACAAGACCAGAGCAUUCAAAACUCGGGAUUCAAACCCAGCCUUAUAUCACAUCCCCAAGCCUGCCAGCCUGGCCUGUACCCCUCUUUCUCCCUCUCCAUGUCCUGUCAUCCCCCAGUGGAAGAAUGACCAGAAAAAGCAGUGCUUUGGUCUGUGAUGGUCAAUGUCUUUACUUCU
Molecule: long non-coding RNA, 1005 nt
Organism: Suricata suricatta (meerkat)
Lineage: Eukaryota; Metazoa; Chordata; Mammalia; Carnivora; Herpestidae
Exons: 4
Source: RefSeq, a predicted model, not a curated record